GGAUGGCGUCUUAUUAAAAAUCUGAAUUCCUUAUUAGCCAGAGUUCUCAAAGUAAAAUAUUUUCCGUAAUCAAACUUUCUAAAUGCACAGUUGGGAUCUUUACCUUCAUUUACCUAGAAGAGCAUCUGGGCAGCAAAGGGGCUCAUUCAUGAUGGUCUUUGCUGGAGAGUUGAACGAAGGACUGAGAUAUCCAUAUGGACAGAUUGUUGGAUUCCAAGGAGUGCAGCAAUUGGUUGGCAACACAGAGAGUCCAAAAGAUCUUGCAGAUCCCUUUGGCAGAAGCAGACCAUGCAGACUUCCAAGUGUGGAAAGAAAAACCUUAAGGGGAUUUCUCAGUAAGAAGUGCCUAUAAACUAUUACAAUAUAACAGCUUGUAUACUAAUAGCUAUUUAUUACAACCCAAAACUAAAAAUUUCCAUCGAAAAUUAUGGGAUUUACAGCUACCAUCAAAAAUUACAAUAACAAUAUGGCGAAUCUCUUGGAACUAUUUCCUUUCAUUAGCUAACCUAAGUUAUAAGAAAGUGACCGCCAACGAUAGAUGUUCUCGGUGCAGUCUCAGAGAAGAAGAUAGCAACCAUAUCUUUAGACAAUGCCCUGCAAUCAGUGAAAUAUGGCAAAGCAUCAACCUCUCUUGGGCUAUAAUUCAUAUGAAUCAAAUUUUCUGGGAAUGGUUAACCUGGGUUU
Gossypium arboreum is the source of this 684-nucleotide long non-coding RNA. RefSeq lists it as uncharacterized. The record is from RefSeq and is a predicted model, not a curated record. The transcript has 2 exons. NCBI's taxonomy places the organism in Eukaryota, Viridiplantae, Streptophyta, Magnoliopsida, Malvales, Malvaceae.